UUCAUUUUAUCCUCAUUUUUGGUAAUCUUGUGAAGGUUGGUUAUGUGAGUUAUGUGUGUAGUUCGAAAUUGUUUCUUAAAAGGGACGAUAACAAAUAAUUUAUUUGUUUAUUUGGAGACUUUGACCACAAAUUAGAUUCUAAUUUUUAUUUUUUCUUUGUUGCAUGAAUUUCCUCUUAAUGAGUCCAUUGGGGACUCUCAUCCCUGCACGAUCCGCGAGACCAAAGUCUUAUUACAAAAUUCCGUGCCAAAGUCCCGAAAUAGGACUGAUCUAUGACGAUAUACAGGGGAUAUACAAUCCGGAAAUUGAUAUAUCGGAUGUAAAAGAAAGAGACGAGUUGAGGCCCAGGGCUGCUCAAGUGUGUUCGCUCAAAACGGGCAAAUAUACACUAAAAAAUGCCUCUGUAUACAGGAAUUUGAAGGACAUAUACAUUUGAUAUACCACUGGUAUACACAGCUGAAGGAAAGCUUAAAAAGUCCAUAAAACUAGGCCCAAGAUUGGUCAGAUUUGAAAUGGGCCAAACUGGGGCCCAAAAAUCUCAAACUUUAUUUUCUUUCUUGUACUUAUUCAUAUUGAUUGUAAUUUGUACUAACUUUAUUUUGGUUAAUUAAGUGGAUUCCCUA
This 623-nucleotide long non-coding RNA is filed under the name Capsicum annuum. RNAcentral's name for it is "long non-coding RNA (CANN_LNC021080)". The record is from RNAcentral. Lineage: Eukaryota; Viridiplantae; Streptophyta; Magnoliopsida; Solanales; Solanaceae.